Molecule: ribosomal RNA, 1374 nt
Filed under: uncultured bacterium
Lineage: Bacteria
Description: bacterial SSU rRNA
Rfam family: Bacterial small subunit ribosomal RNA
Source: RNAcentral
GAUGAACGCUGGCGGCGUGCCUAAUACAUGCAAGUCGAGCGAACAGACAAGGAGCUUGCUCCUUUGACGUUAGCGGCGGACGGGUGAGUAACACGUGGGUAACCUACCUAUAAGACUGGGAUAACUUCGGGAAACCGGAGCUAAUACCGGAUAAUAUUUCGAACCGCAUGGUUCGAUAGUGAAAGAUGGUUUUGCUAUCACUUAUAGAUGGACCCGCGCCGUAUUAGCUAGUUGGUAAGGUAACGGCUUACCAAGGCGACGAUACGUAGCCGACCUGAGAGGGUGAUCGGCCACACUGGAACUGAGACACGGUCCAGACUCCUACGGGAGGCAGCAGUAGGGAAUCUUCCGCAAUGGGCGAAAGCCUGACGGAGCAACGCCGCGUGAGUGAUGAAGGUCUUCGGAUUGUAAAACUCUGUUAUUAGGGAAGAACAUACGUGUAAGUAACUAUGCACGUCUUGACGGUACCUAAUCAGAAAGCCACGGCUAACUACGUGCCAGCAGCCGCGGUAAUACGUAGGUGGCAAGCGUUAUCCGGAAUUAUUGGGCGUAAAGCGCGCGUAGGCCGGUUUUUUAAGUCUGAUGUGAAAGCCUACGGCUCAACCGUGGAGGGUCAUUGGAAACUGGAAAACUUGAGUGCAGAAGAGGAAAGUGGAAUUCCAUGUGUAGCGGUGAAAUGCGCAGAGAUAUGGAGGAACACCAGUGGCGAAGGCGACUUUCUGGUCUGUAACUGACGCUGAUGUGCGAAAGCGUGGGGAUCAAACAGGAUUAGAUACCCUGGUAGUCCACGCCGUAAACGAUGAGUGCUAAGUGUUAGGGGGUUUCCGCCCCUUAGUGCUGCAGCUAACGCAUUAAGCACUCCGCCUGGGGAGUACGACCGCAAGGUUGAAACUCAAAGGAAUUGACGGGGACCCGCACAAGCGGUGGAGCAUGUGGUUUAAUUCGAAGCAACGCGAAGAACCUUACCAAAUCUUGACAUCCUUUGACAACUCUAGAGAUAGAGCCUUCCCCUUCGGGGGACAAAGUGACAGGUGGUGCAUGGUUGUCGUCAGCUCGUGUCGUGAGAUGUUGGGUUAAGUCCCGCAACGAGCGCAACCCUUAAGCUUAGUUGCCAUCAUUAAGUUGGGCACUCUAAGUUGACUGCCGGUGACAAACCGGAGGAAGGUGGGGAUGACGUCAAAUCAUCAUGCCCCUUAUGAUUUGGGCUACACACGUGCUACAAUGGACAAUACAAAGGGCAGCGAAACCGCGAGGUCAAGCAAAUCCCAUAAAGUUGUUCUCAGUUCGGAUUGUAGUCUGCAACUCGACUACAUGAAGCUGGAAUCGCUAGUAAUCGUAGAUCAGCAUGCUACGGUGAAUACCUUUCCCGGGUCU